Molecule: non-coding RNA, 23 nt
Filed under: Cricetulus griseus (Chinese hamster)
Lineage: Eukaryota; Metazoa; Chordata; Mammalia; Rodentia; Cricetidae
Source: RNAcentral
AAAUAAAAGACCUGGACUGUAAA